CUUGAUUUAAACUUUUUAAAUUCUGACUCUUGACAGUGAGCAUACAUGCUUAUUAAACAUAUAGAAAUGAGAAACAUAACAAAGUCAUUAUCUACUCAGGUUAAACUCUGAACAACAGGGUUAUUUCUAGUGACACAGACAGCAUCUGCAUGUUUGCUACAUAAGCAGAGUAACUCCUGGCUGUAUUCAGAUGAUUCUCCAGACAUAGUCUUGAGUUUGAAGAUGGAAACAUCUUGCUUAAAACCUUAUACUGGAUUAUCCACAGAUGGCACAGUGCACAGGUUUCAACAGAACCACUUUCAACAGUUAAUAUUUUCCUUUGAGUUUUGUUGAGUCUGUAGGUAAUCAUUAGUUGCAUCCCUGCAACAGAGAAUGAUUCAUCGGUGAGCAGGGUUUGUUUUUGGCACAGACAACCUCAUGAGGUGAAACAAUAGAGAGUUUUGUUUUGUUCUUGUUAUUUUUAACAACAUUUAAUUGUGUUCGGGCAUCUAUUUCACCUUCUUCUCACGUGUUUUUCUGGGAAUGGUUAUAAGAGGAAUAUUCACAAAUGUAAGUAUUGUUGAACACAAAACACAGGAGAAAACAAUCCAGGAAUCAGUGUCCUAUUAUUAAAAAACCCAGUAAUGUUUUAAACAGUCUUAAAUCUUUAUCGGGCAUACAGUAUACUUAUUCAUGUUCUUUUCUCUUGGAUUUUGCAUGCUCCACAAAAGCCAGUAUCAGAUUCUGUGUUUUCAUAGACAUGGGCAUGUUACUGCUUGUUUGUCAUUGACAAGAUUUUUAAAAUUUAUUCUUUCUCUGCUUGUGUUGCUCACUUUCCUCCUUUCUCUGCUAUUUUAAGUCCUGUUUGUAAAUCUAAUUCCAACCAAUGCUUUUUUGGGGACACAAUAUCACAGCCAGUGAGUGGAUGUUCCUGUGUAUAUUUUUGGUCUUUCAUAAUUUGUGUGUGGCCUUAGAAGUUGGUGGAGGACAAAAAAGACAAAAAUCACCUUUUAAAAAACCUUACCUUUCCAAACCUGUGAAAGAGUAAGGCAUUUUUCUUUCACGUUUUGAUAUUCAUAGGCAUGGGCUUUGCAGAUAAAUCUGCUUUCAAACCAACAUCAAGUUGUGCCCCUUCAGAAUUUGGCUGGCUACUCUCUGAUUAAUGAAACUAAAGCACAUACAGAAAAGUUUUUUUCAUGGUACCUGAAUUUGCACUGUUUUAAAUCUUUUCUAUAUUUUUCAUUACACUUACACUGUGUGUAACUGUAACAAAUACUCCAAUAGCUGUUGAUUUGCAGAGUGAGCUGUUUGUGUAAAGAUGUUAUUUUUGAUUGAUUUAAAAAGAAGACACCAAAAGACUGUAUAAAAACAAAAUUCAGUAAAAAGCCCAUGCUUAGUCCCACUGUAUUUAAGCAUUACAUUGUCAUCUCAGUGCUCAAAGAGGAGUAUAAUCACAGCAUUUUCUAUAUAUGGAUUGUGUUGAUAUAUAAAGAGGUUCUGCCAGUUGAUGACAGGAGCUGCUGGCAUGUAGAAGGUGGCUUCAGGACACCAGAGCUAACUGUCAGGCCAGGUUUUGUGGGCCUAAUUUGAAACACCAGUAAGGAAAAUAUUGGCAAAGAUUGGCACAAAAAAAGGUGCCAAAUAAUCGAGGUUUCUAGAUCAGGUGUUUCUUAAUGCUGUAUUCCAGUUACCCCGGAAGUUGGAGCUGGGAAUGACGUUACACCAGAGUUGACGAUGUUCCAGUAGACAAGUCGGAAAGCCAAGAUGGACACCUACUGUAAGCCGAUGUUAGCUGUUGUUAACAAUUGCCAGCUGUUUUCAGGCAUUGUCAGUUGUUGUUAGCGGUUGUCAGGUGUUGUUACUUGUUGUUGUUAGCUAUACCAAUUGUAAACAACACAUAACACAGUAUUUUACUCUUACAAAACACCAUAGUACAGUGUCCACCGCACAACAUAUAUACCACUUAUUUAAUUUCACAAAAACAAAACAGAAGUGCUAAUAAAUAAUACACUACAAAAGCUUUAAUUCUUACUCCCUACUGUUGAUGCACUGCGCUGCCAUCUUGUAUUAUGAUGCUGUCGUCAAGUCUGGGUUGGUGAGGAUCAUCCAACUUUUUGGGUCGGAAAUCUGACUUUAGGGGGGCAUUUCAGAUGAAUUUCCAACUCGGAGCUCUGAAAUCCUGACUUUGGAGUACAACUGGAACGUAGCAUAAGCUAUCUGCAAAUAUUCCAACCAACCAAGCUUCACUAGAGUGAGGCCUCUUCUUUCCGAGACACCACAGCCUUCAGGAAAGUCACAAAGAGUCACAAAAGAGAGCAUUGACCUUAUUGCUUGAACUCACGAACUCAUCCCCAAAUACAAACAAUGGCAGACAUCUUCUUCAUUGCCCCUUACUAGCAGCUGGAUAACAAUUUGAGUCAACCAGCUGGAAAUCCAAUGUUUCAACAGUAAAACUUCUUUGGGCACAUACGAUCAUCACCUUGGCAUUAGCAGGAUUUUUGGACUUGCAGUGCCACUGGAUAAACUCACUGACUGGGCCAAGAAAAAGAAAUGAGAAAAGUAUCAGGAACUGGUUGUAGGGGGCAAGAGCAGAGGCUGGAAGGUGCACUAUGACGGUUGCAUCUUUGCUGAACACUUGAUCAGCAAAACCCUUACCUGAUUGGGCAUCUUAGGUGCUGCAACAAUAAGGCUAUUCAAUCCAAAAACAAAGAGGACAACUGCUCGGUUGCCUAGGUGAAGGUAUAUGAUGUAGAAAGACCAUAAAACACGUUGUGACCCAGGAUCACAUCUCUAAUGAUGCAUCACAGUGCAUCUGGGAGAUGCAUUUUACACAGUAAAGCUUUGGAAUGACCAAAAUUUACUCACUUAAAUUAUUAAAUCUGAAACCUGGGGCUUUGAAAAUCUUUUCAAAAAUUCAAAGUCCUGCUUGUAUUGUAACCAGAGAACGUAAAAAGAUGUACCCACUGAGAUGUCUCAUUGACUGCAUAUUAAAAAAAUCCCUGUUGUUUUGCAUCUUUGUUAGAUUUACGUUGGUUGUCUGAUGCCACAAGUGACCAAGUUUUUAAAAAAGGGUAGGACUGAGACCUACACUGUUCAGUAGAAGGUUGUAUUUUUCUCUGCUUGCUGUAGUUUCAGGCGAUCACAGCAUGAAGUAAUGUGGCGUGAUUUUUCUCUCCACAGAUCCAAAUUAUGCAGCCAAUGACAACCUAAAGAUUUAGCCCCCAGUCCACCAACCCUAAAGAGAUCCAGUGACUGGCACAGAGCCCUGACCUCAACACCAGUGCUGACAGCAGUCCGGGCCUCUUCACCCAACACUAGUGCCAAAUCUCACUAAUGCUGACCAAGAGCAAAUCCCUGUCACCAGCUCCCAAAAAUCUGAUGGAAAAUCUAAAAGUAGAGCUGUGGAGGCUCUUAAAGCAGUACAUUAAAACACAUGAUGCAUAAAAAAAAACCAG
This 3434-nucleotide long non-coding RNA is filed under the name Xyrichtys novacula (pearly razorfish). Lineage: Eukaryota; Metazoa; Chordata; Actinopteri; Labriformes; Labridae. The record is from RNAcentral.